Molecule: long non-coding RNA, 5159 nt
Filed under: Sorghum bicolor (sorghum)
Lineage: Eukaryota; Viridiplantae; Streptophyta; Magnoliopsida; Poales; Poaceae
Description: long non-coding RNA (SBIC_LNC006206)
Source: RNAcentral
UCUACAAGGCUUAUAUCAGCCAAUACCUACUCCUGUACCAGCCUAUACCAGCCCACUACUCUAGCUGGUGUACUUCUACCAACUAUGGAAGACUAAAUGGCCUAUUGCCAUACUCCUACAGUGGCAGCCGAGAGCUGACCACUUGAACCUGCCAUAUGCAGGACAAAAAUACAAGAGGGACAGCAGAUUAUAUCUUACAAUCUUUCCCUAAUCCUGCUGUGUACUCUUGACCUCCACCAUGCCAAUCUUGCUCCUUAGUUCCAAGAACCGAAGUCGCCCAACUGGCUUAGUGAAGAUGUCAGCGAGUUGUCGACCGGUUUCAACGAAUUCGAUGACAAUCUGCUUCUCCUCGACGCAAUCACGAAGGAAGUGAAACUUCACAUCAAUGUGUUUGCUUCGGUCGUGGAGAACAGGGUUCUUUGCCAGCGCUAUUGCUGGCUGAUUGUUCACCUUGAGCACAGGCGGCUGGGGCUCAAUGCCUGUGAGCUCCCCCAGCAGCCGGCGCAUCCACACCAACUGGCAUGCCGCGGUGGCUGCAGCGACAUACUCUGCCUCGCAAGUCGACAAUGCCACCGUCUUCUGCUUCAGCGACUGCCAGGCGACAGGUGCCAUGCCGAGGAGGAUCAACACGCCUGAGGUGCUGCGUCGUCCAUCAACAUCGCCUGCCAUGUCCGCGUCACUAUAAGCCGCGAGCUUCAGCCCGCCUCCACCAGACCCGCCGCCUUUAGGGAAGACGAGAGCCUGGUCCACCGUCCCCUGGAUGUAGCGCAGGACCCGCUUGACUGCCAUCCAGUGAUCCUCCCGUGGAUCCUCCAUGAACCGGCUCACAUACCCGACCGCGAACGCGAUGUCCGGCCGAGUAUGGGUGAGCCAGCGCAGCCCGCCGACGAUGCUUCGAUAGCGCGUUGCGUCCACCUUCUCCGCCGUGCUCUGCUUUGGCAGCUUGAUUCGUUCCUCCAUCGGGGUCGCCGCAGGCCUGCAAUUUGCCAUGCCAGCCCGCUCCAUGCCAGCCCGCUCCAGUACCUUGCGCGCGUAGGCGCGCUGCCCCAGCGUGACUGCCUUGCUUCCCUGCUUCACCUCGAUGCCGAGGUAGUAGCUUAGCACACCGAGAUCGGUCAUCUGGAACCUUGCCGCCAUCUUGGUUUUGAAGGAUAAAAUGUCCUUCUCCCGCGCUCCGGUGACGAUCAAAUCGUCCACGUACACCCCGACGACGAGUUCUUCCUUCCCCCGUCGGCGGGUGUACAAGGUAUGCUCUGUUGCGCACCGUGAGAACCCAAGCUCCGCCAUGGUGGCGUCGAGCUUGGAGUUCCAUGCUCGCGGUGCCUGCCGCAAGCCGUAGAGCGCCUUCCUGAGGCGGAGCACCUUGUGCUCGACCCCCUUCACGGUGAAGCCUGGGCCCUGCUUGACGAAGACCUCCUCCAUCAAGUCGCCGUUGAGGAAGGCGGAUUUGACGUCGAGGUGGUGAACUGCCCAGUCCUUGGUCGCCGCCAUGGCCAGCACGAGUCGCACCGACUCCAUGCGCGCCACUGGCGCGAACACCUCCUCGAAAUCGAUCCCUUCUCGCUGCACGAACCCCCGAGCGACGAGCCGCGCCUUGUGCUUCACCACCGCGCCGUGCUCGUCCUUCUUCACCUUGUAGACCCAUUUGAGUCCGAUCGACCGGCAUCCAACCGGUGGAUCGACCAACUCCCAGGUCCGGUUGGCUUCUAUCUACCGCAUCUCCUCCAACAUGGCACGCCGCCACUCCGGCUCGCGCUCCGCAGCUGCGAAAGUGGCCGACUCUUCUGUGCUCAACAUCAUGAGCUCCUCUUCCUCGCCCAGCAGCCGUGCCGCCAAACCUGGAGUCGCUGCAUCACCGAGAACGUUGUCGACACGGCGGAACCGUACCUCCUCGCCGUCGUGGAAGGCGUCCACGAACUUGGUGACAUCCUGCGGUGGAGUAGCAUACUCCACUUGAGCUGCCGUUGGAGUCCUCUGCUCCUGUCCUGAGACAGCGUGAGGUGGAGUGCCGACCGUCGUGGUGGGACUGGGCGGCUCAGCUUCCCCUGCUGCUGGUGCCUCGUCCCUUGCUUCCCCUGCUCCAGGGGCAGCAGCUUCCUCCACGACCCCUGCUGGCGCUGGGGCUUUGCUGGUGAUGACCAGCUGCUCGACGACGAAGGACCCGUCGAACCCGAGCGCGCCCUCUUCUUCCGCCAAGUCUUCCUCAUCCCACCUCCAUGCCCCUGCUUCGUCGAACACGACGUCGCGGGACACUGUCACCCUCCCGGUGACCGGAUCACAGAGCCUGUAGGCUUUUGAUCCUUCCUCGUAGCCGAGGAAUACCAUCUUUGUGCUCCUGUCCUCAAGCUUGGUGAGGCCGGGCUUGGUGUUCUUCACAUGCCCAAUGCACCCAAACGUGCGCAUGAAUGCCACGCUUGGCUUGCGCCCAUGCCAAGCUUCAAACGGCAUCCUCCCGUUCAACGCCUUCGUCGGUGCUCUGUUGAGGAUGAACACCGCCGUGCUUACUGCCUCACCCCAGAACGCCGCCGGCAUUCCCUUGGCCUUCAGCAUGCACCUUGCCAUCCCGACGAUGGACUGAUUCCGGCGUUCCACCACGCCGUUUUGCUGAGGUGAGUAGGGCGCCGUGAGAUGGCGUUCCACUCCCUCCUCCGCGCAGUAGGUGGCGAACUCCACCGCCGUUGUUGGCACAGAAACUCUGCACCGAGGUGAGCAGCACCUGCUCUCCUCCCCUCUCCCACUCCCCUCCGCGGUCUGUUCGCAGCACCCUCAGUCUUCUCCCAGACUCUGCCUCCACCUUCGCCUUGAGUUGCUUGAUGGCUUCUGCUGCCUCGCUCUUGCUAGCCAGGAGCCGCAACCACAUGUAGCGAUUGUAGUCAUCCACCAGCAGGAGGAAAUACCUCCGCCCUCCGUGCGUGGCCGAGGUGAUAGGCCCGCAUAGGUCGCCAUGAACCAGCUCAAGCUUCUCCCCGGCGCGGUACCUUGCCUCCUUGGGGAACGACAGUCUCCUCUGCUUCCCCACCAGGCAGCUGUCACAAAGCUCGCUGGCGUGUUGGAUCUUGGGCAUCCCCCUCACCAUUGCCGCCAGUCUGCUCAGUGCGUCGAAGUUCAAAUGCCCGAACUGGCCAUGCCACAGCCACGGCUCCUCCGUGCACUGUGCCGCCAGGCACACCGGCUGUUCGACCUUAAGGUCCAGCAAAAAUAGCCAGUUCUUCGACCUUGUGACCUUGGCCAGCAACCGCCGAUCUUGGUCACGAAUCCGCAGCACCCCGCCCUUGAUCACCACCUCAGCGCCACGCUCGUCCAACUGCCCGAGGCUGAUGAUGCUUGUCCUCAGCUGUGGGAUCCAGUAGACAUCCGUCAUCGCCCGGUGUUCGCCGUUCCGACACCGGAACAGGACAGUGCCACGGCCGCGGAUCGCCACCCGGGAGCCAUCGCCAAACUUGACGCUCCCGGUGGUUUCUUCGUCCAACUCGGAGAAGACGGCGCGAUUUCCCGUCAUGUGAUUGCUCGCGCCGGAGUCCAAGUACCAGCGCUGCUCCAGCUCGUCGCCGAUCGCCCCCAAUUGGACCUGCGCCUGUGGCUCGUCAAGAUUGACGGCACGCGCAGCAGUCCCCUGCUUCGCGUCCGCCUCUCCUGCUUCGCCUUGGAGCGCGCAGUACUCCCCCAACAUGAGAGCGUGUUCAUCGUUGUCGCUGUCCACAGCCGCCAGAUGAGCCUCCUCCUUCUCCUUGCGCUCCUGGCACUCUCGCGCCCAAUGCCCGACCUUGCCGCACUUACGGCAAGCGUUGGGGUCGAAGUAUUUCUUCUUCCCCUUCUUCUUGUCUGCCGGCGGCUUACCGCACCCUUUGGCGCCAUCUCCGCCGCCGCGACUGGUGGAGCCUUCCCUGGUCCGGCGCUUGUCCUUCAUGCGCGCGGUCCACUCCUCUUCCGUCAGGAGUAGCUUGGGCUUCUCUUUCUCCGGUGCCGGCGCAAUGCGGCUUUCUGCCACCCGCAGCCGCCCUGCCACGUCCUCCAGAGACAGCGUGGAGAUGUCCAACAUGGUCUCGAUGGACAUGGCGAGCUGCGAGUAUUUUGCCGGCACGGUGCACAACAGCUUGGUGACGAGGUCCUCGUCGUCCACCUUCUUCCCGUAGGUGGCCAGCUGCGUGGCCAGAGAUUGGAGGCGAAGGGUGAAGUCCUCCACCGGCUCUCCGGGCUUGAACUUGAUGUCGUUGAGCUCCCUGCGCAGCUGCUGGAUCCUGGCCCGCUUGGCUCGGUCCGAGCCGACGCGCAGCGAUUCCAGCAUCUCCCAGGCCUGCUUCACGGUGUCCUUGGCGCCCAGCGCCUCGUGGUACUCCGCCGGCGUCGAGGCCAUGAGCGCCUCCAUGAUCCCCACCUGGGCAUCCUCGCUCCGGUCAUCCUCCUCGAUCGCCCGCCACCACUUCCGCGCGCGCAGCUUCCACUUCAUGUGCGUCGCCCACUCACCGUAGUUGGUGCGGGUGAGCAUGGGCCAGGAGCCGCCGCCGCUGAACUCCUUCACCACACGCACCUCGACCUGCGGUGGCGCCGGCUGGAGCUGGAGCUCACCACCUUCCCCUCCGCCGUUCCGCAUCGCACUCUCUGCCAUCUGCAAUUUGUGGACCUAGCUACGGCUGAUACCAGUUGUUGGCACAGAAACCCUGCACCGAGGUGAGCAGCACCUGCUCUCCUCCCCUCUCCCACUCCCCUGCUCCAAGGAAGAAGAAGAGCCCUGAGCUCCUUCACUCACACACGCAGCACACACAUACCCAGUUUUCAGACUUGAACUGAAAACUUGGAGAACUGAAUGAGUGGCAAUGAACUUCGUUUUCCAUUGCAAUAGGUAGAGUAUAUAUAUACACAAACUAUGUACCUGCUGGUACACUACUUGGAUGGUGACUACACCAUUCCAACAACUACUCUACAAGGCUUAUAUCAGCCAAUACCUACUCCUAUACCAGCCUAUACCAGCCCACUACUCUAGCUGGUGUACUUCUACCAACUAUGGAAGACUAAAUGGCCUAUUGCCAUACUCCUACAGUGGCAGCCGAGAGCUGACCACUUGAACCUGCCAUAUGCAGGACAAAAAUACAAGAGGGACAGCAGAUUAUAUCUUACAUGGACACAUUAUUCUGAUAAACUCUUGUUUACAUCAGGUACCU